CCUACGGGAGGCAGCAGUGAGGAAUAUUGGUCAAUGGACGAGAGUCUGAACCAGCCAAGUAGCGUGAAGGAUGACUGCCCUAUGGGUUGUAAACUUCUUUUAUAUGGGAAUAAAAUGUUCCACGUGUGGGAUUUUGUAUGUCCCAUAUGAAUAAGGAUCGGCUAACUCCGUGCCAGCAGCCGCGGUAAUACGGAGGAUCCGAGCGUUAUCCGGAUUUAUUGGGUUUAAAGGGAGCGUAGGUGGAUAUUUAAGUCAGUUGUGAAAGUUUGCGGCUCAACCGUAAAAUUGCAGUUGAAACUGGCAGUCUUGAGUACAGUAGAGGUGGGCGGAAUUCGUGGUGUAGCGGUGAAAUGCUUAGAUAUCACGAAGAACUCCGAUUGCGAAGGCAGUUCACUGGACUGCAACUGACACUGAGGCUCGAAAGUGUGGGUAUCAAACAGGAUUAGAUACCCUGGUAGUC
RNAcentral lists this ribosomal RNA (460 nucleotides) under uncultured bacterium. RNAcentral describes it as "partial 16S ribosomal RNA". It matches the Rfam family "Bacterial small subunit ribosomal RNA", at positions 338 to 795 of the family's 1533-position model. The record is from RNAcentral.